RNAcentral lists this ribosomal RNA (443 nucleotides) under uncultured bacterium. RNAcentral describes it as "partial 16S ribosomal RNA". It matches the Rfam family "Bacterial small subunit ribosomal RNA", at positions 338 to 795 of the family's 1533-position model. The record is from RNAcentral.
CCUACGGGGGACAGCAGUGGGGAAUAUUGGGCAAUGGGCGCAAGCCUGACCCAGCAACGCCGCGUGAAGGAAGAAGGCUUUCGGGUUGUAAACUUCUUUUCUGAGGGACGAAGAAAGUGACGGUACCGCAGGAAUAAGCCACGGCUAACUACGUGCCAGCAGCCGCGGUAAUACGUAGGUGGCAAGCGUUAUCCGGAUUUAUUGGGUGUAAAGGGCGUGUAGGCGGGAAAGCAAGUCAGAUGUGAAAACUCAGGGCUCAACCCUGAGCCUGCAUUUGAAACGGUUUUUCUUGAGUGCUGGGGAGGCAAUCGGAAUUCCGUGUGUAGCGGUGAAAUGCGUAGAUAUCCGGAGGAACACCAGUGGCGAAGGCGGAUUGCUGGACAGUAACUGACGCUGAGGCGCGAAAGCGUGGGGAGCAAACAGGAUUAGAUACCCUUGUAGUC